UACGUAGGGGCCUAGCGUUGUCCGGAUUUAUUGGGCGUAAAGAGCUCGUAGGCGGUUUGGUGAGUCGGGUGUGAAAUCUCCACGCUCAACGUGGAGGGGCCACCCGAUACUGCCAUGACUAGAGUCCGGUAGGGGAGUGUGGAAUUCCUGGUGUAGCGGUGAAAUGCGCAGAUAUCAGGAGGAACACCGGUGGCGAAGGCGGGUCUCUGGGCCGUAACUGACGCUGAGGAGCGAAAGCGUGGGGAGCGAACAGG
Molecule: ribosomal RNA, 254 nt
Filed under: uncultured bacterium
Lineage: Bacteria
Description: partial 16S ribosomal RNA
Rfam family: Bacterial small subunit ribosomal RNA
Source: RNAcentral